GAUGCUUUUUUUUCUCCUACUGACCUUUGGCGGACUCUGUAAAAUACAAACAGGUAUUUCAGUUAAAAACUUAAAGACAAACAAACAAACUAAACAGCUGAAGCAGGUCAAAAUAGGUAAAUGUUUUUCAAAGAAUUAAGAUCUCAAAGUAUUUUAUAUGAAAAAUAAACAUUUUGAAAAUCAUUACAAAACUUAAAACUGCCAGCAGCCUCUCCUGGAUGAGCUGAACGUUCUGACGAAUGAAAAACAGCUAAAACAGCUAAAACAGCUCACAGUCUGUGACGUAGUUCCUGCAGAUGGUAAAUAAAAUGUACGUCAUCUCUGCAGAACUUAAAGAAAUGUAAAGAUUUGUCUGUUUUCGUGCUGUUGGGAUCAUUUCAGACGACCGCAGCCAAACUAAAACACAAUAUUUACUCAGUAGUUGCUGAGUUGGAACUACCUAAAAGCAAAUUGUUACCUCAGAUUUUUGUUUCAUGUUGAGCCAAUGUUUUUUUUAGAGCGUAGUCCAAAACCUCAUGUCUCAUUUAGUAAAUGUUUGCCUCAGUUCCUCGUGUUGUGCAGGAACUUUCCUGUUCUAAAAGUUAAUAACUUCUUUCUCUGUUUGCUCUCCGGAGCUGGUGGAGUUUGGGCCGUGAGAGAGCAAAUUCCUUGUUUUUUCCCUGAAAGUGUUUUCCCAGCCUGCAGCUCUCUGCAGCCCGAGUUAAUGUUUACACCCGGACUGACUCUGCUGUUUUAAGCACUGCUGGAUAAACAGCAGCCAUCCACACUGUUAGCUCAUCAAUCCUUAGAAGCGAUUGGUUUCUGAGAAAAAAAAGAAAGGAUGAAAGCUGAUUGGCCGAGGAGCAAAGAGGUGCUGCGUUUUCACACCGUCUUUGAUUUAUGUCUUCACUCUGGCUGAACCUCGAGUCGGGUUCCUGUUUCUUUCUCCUCCUCUCUUUUGUCCCUGGUUCUGUACUUUUCUGCCGUUCUUCCAGUUGGUCCCUCAGAUGUUCGCCUGGUUCUGACGUCACGAUGAGGCUGACUGUCAGAGGAGCUGAAGAGCCAAGGUCAGAGGUUUCAUCCUCAUCGUGGCGUAAACUGAUUAUUCCUCAGCAGAGCCUCCAAAUGUGGACGAAAAUAUGAAAACAUUUCUUUUUUUUUAGCAGACAUGAGCGAUAAUGGUGUCGCCUCUCUAGCCUGCACCACCUGGCCUCACUUUAGCUUCAGGGUUCAGGGUAAAGAGCAGGAGUGUGAUUUGUUGUCGUCGCCGUGAGUUCAGCUCAGGCAGAGGAGGAGCGUCUCGGUGUGAACAUCCAGAGUUCUCAGCGCUCAGUUUUUGGAAGGGCGGAUGGACGUGAAACUCGUAGAGAAGACGCCGUUGCUCAACAGCGUGAUUAGGACUUGCAGGAGCGGAACGAUGCGGUGGACUAAAAUCUAAAUGUGUCAGUCUGCGCUCCGGUGGUGGGCAUGCUGCAACCUGAAGCCUCACUCAUUCCCGCUCCUUCACUCCGUCACCAMGCAGGAAAAUAUGUAAACAGAGGGAAAACCUCUGUAGAGCURUGGUGUGUCCACACUGCUGUCUGGUUGUUUGUCUCCGGUCUCGGUUCGUCUGGAUGUAGAGCAGAGGCAGUCGGACGGGGUUAAAGGUCAGGGUCCUCUCUUCCUCGAGAGACUUCUCAGCUCAAAUUAGGGSCCACAUUCGCGGUCAAGCUGGUUAACCUCGGCCCACCUUGUCGUCCUUUAAGAAAGCAGGAGCUCCUCGGCAGUGCUGGCUCUAGCCAUUUUGGUGCCCUAGGUGAGUUGAAGCCCCCCUCCCCCGAGCUAUGUCCCACC
Molecule: long non-coding RNA, 1812 nt
Organism: Austrofundulus limnaeus
Lineage: Eukaryota; Metazoa; Chordata; Actinopteri; Cyprinodontiformes; Rivulidae
Exons: 3
Source: RefSeq, a predicted model, not a curated record